RNAcentral lists this ribosomal RNA (319 nucleotides) under uncultured eukaryote. Its description in RNAcentral is "partial 18S ribosomal RNA". It matches the Rfam family "Eukaryotic small subunit ribosomal RNA", at positions 1470 to 1796 of the family's 1831-position model. The record is from RNAcentral.
CCCUUAGAUGAUUUGGGCUGCACGCGCGCUACACUGACCCUAACAAUGAGCAACUGUCUGGCCUGAGAUGGCUGGGUAGCCUUUUCAACCCAUGUCAUGAUUGGGCUAGAUUUUUGUAAGUCUUGAUCUCUAACGAGGAAUCCCUAGUAUGCGUGAAUCAUCAAUCCAUGCAGAUUAUGUCCCUGCCCUUUGUACACACCGCCCGUCGCUCCUACUGAUUGGGUGAUCCGGUGAGCAGUUCGGCCAUAGCAAUGUUUCUUGAGCAGGGCAAUGAAUGUUUCGCAAACCUUGCCACUUAGAGGAAGGAGAAGUCGUAACA